RNAcentral lists this non-coding RNA (27 nucleotides) under Mus musculus (house mouse). The record is from RNAcentral. Lineage: Eukaryota; Metazoa; Chordata; Mammalia; Rodentia; Muridae.
UGACUGGCUUGCUCUUCAAGGUGACUU